This 443-nucleotide ribosomal RNA is filed under the name uncultured bacterium. RNAcentral describes it as "partial 16S ribosomal RNA". It matches the Rfam family "Bacterial small subunit ribosomal RNA", at positions 338 to 795 of the family's 1533-position model. The record is from RNAcentral.
CCUACGGGAGGCAGCAGUGGGGAAUAUUGGGCAAUGGGCGCAAGCCUGACCCAGCAACGCCGCGUGAAGGAAGAAGGCUUUCGGGUUGUAAACUUCUUUUCUGAGGGACGAAGAAAGUGACGGUCUCUCUGGAAUAAGCCACGUCUAACUACGUGCCAGCCGCCGCGGUAAUACGGAGGUGGCAAGCGUUAUCCGGAUUUAUUGGGUGUAAAGGGCGUGUAGACGGGGAUGCAAGUCAGAUGUGAACACUCAUGGCUCAACCCAGAAGCUGUAUUUGAAACUGUUUUGCUUGAGUGCUGGAGAGGCAAGCGGAAUUCCGGGUGUAGCGGGGAAAUGCGUAGAUAUACGGAGGAACACCAGUGGCGAAGGCGGAUUGCUGGACAGUAACUGACGCUGAGGCGCGAAAGCGUGGGGAGCAAACAGGAUUAGAUACCCGAGUAGUC